Molecule: long non-coding RNA, 1853 nt
Organism: Pezoporus flaviventris
Lineage: Eukaryota; Metazoa; Chordata; Aves; Psittaciformes; Psittacidae
Exons: 2
Source: RefSeq, a predicted model, not a curated record
UGGGGUGAAACAGAGCUGCUGGGCAGUGGGGAUAAAUGGAAAGAAUAGGAAGCGACUGCGCUGGGCACUGGGAAGCACAGACUGGUCCCAUAUGGAAAGUGUGUGGCUGUUUGGAACUGAAUGGAGGGGUGCUGGGCACUGCUUGGUCACCACUGCCUGCAGAGGGAGAAACAGGAUAGCAAGUGUCAUCUAACGCUGCCUAGGGCAGGGUGCAGGUAGAACACCUCCUGAGCUCCAGCCCUGUCUGCUGGGAUGGGUUCUCUGUGCUUCUGCCUCCUCAGCAGAGACUAAACCAGGAGCAUGGGGGUUCUUUAGGAAUUUACCCCAAAGAACUGGUGGUUCCUUGGAGCACCAGGGGUGAGUGUGCUGGUGCUCAAGCCUCUCCUGUGGACCUUUGUGUUGCCACAAGCAGCCAUGUAGCUCCUGAACAUUCAGUUCCUAAAAGUGAGCGUAGUUAUUCCAAAUGAUGUGUGUUGGAAGUAAACGUUAACUAGUAUUAACUGUUAUGUUUGUUUUGUACUGUGGUGGGACAUCAGUCACGCAGUUUCUCACAGCUCAAGGUCUCCUAAGACCAACAAUCGAGGACACGUGGUGGAGUGACCACAGAUCCACUGAAUCCCAGGGGAUCUCUAAAGGACAGGCUUUUUGAGCAAAGGAGCAGGUGCCAUGGAAGCCCUGGUCAGCUGUGUGCACAUCUGGAGCAAGGUCUGGCAGAGGUGGUGGUAUAAGGAGUGCCCAAGGCGCUGUGCCCUCCGGAAUAAGCGCACUGCAAGGUUUCAUUUUGAAAAUGCUUUAAUAAGGAAGUGUUGACACCACCGUUCUGCAAAAUGUAAAGGUAACUAUACAAAUUCUUAAUACAAAAAGAAUAAAUUAAAAGCAGAUCUGUUUUAAUUCUGCAACUUUUUCUACAACAUCCAUAUUUUUUUGCCUUGAUUACAGUUGAACAGAAUCCAGUCAAAUCAUUUUCCAUGCUCUAAAGUCAAUUUCAGGAGAGACCUAAUGGUUUUUUUCCUUAUUUUUCCUUCUUUUUUAUUUUUUUUUUAAACUAGAGAGUCCAUUUUACACAACUCGUAAUAAAACUAUUGACAUUAAUAUAUAUGUAAAACUUUACAUCUAGUUAACUAAGCAGUAACUGGUCAUCUGAUAGCACCUGAAUGGGGAUCGGCUAUGCCUGAAACUAAAACUAAUACAGAGUGAAAACAAAUGGGACUGUUUCAACAUCUUCAACACUCGACUGCAUAUAGGAUGAUGGCAAAAUAAACCCUGCCUCCCUCCAGCACGGCCCAGCGCGGGAUUAGCUCUCGGCUGAGCAUCAGACACGUAGACUCGGAACGCGAUUGUGGCUUUAUGUCGGAUGGAGCCUUGGAAAACAAAAAGGGACAGGAGGGGUUAAGUUGGUAGUCAAGUGCUUGUCUAUAAUAGCUAUGUAUAUACCCCUCCGCGUUAUACUUAAAUAUGUUAAUCUCAUCUGAUUAACAUUUUAUGUACAUUUGUGUUUUAAUUGAAUUGAGCUAAACAGUAAAACCUGUUUUACUUUAAUCUGUCUUUACUACCAGACUGGCUGCUCACGUGUGCCUCGACUGCGGAACAGAAAAGCAGAACACAAAGCAAAACUCAAUCUGUUUCUAGGAAGCUUUUUUCUCUACUCGAGCCCCUUUGCAAUUCAGGCCAAGCACUGGAUUCCUCUUUACACCUAAGUUCAGGGCUGCCACCUUUUCACCUGUGCUGCAAAACUGCAGAGCUGGUCUUGGAGGAAUUAACAGUUCUUCCUGUAGUGCCCAGAGGCCUCAUAGCGCCGCUGCUGUUGAAUUCUUUUUAAUUAAGAGAAGGUACACAGAGAAAACAGAAACCAA